RNAcentral lists this ribosomal RNA (497 nucleotides) under uncultured bacterium. RNAcentral's name for it is "partial 16S ribosomal RNA". It matches the Rfam family "Bacterial small subunit ribosomal RNA", at positions 28 to 507 of the family's 1533-position model. The record is from RNAcentral.
GAUGAACGCUGGCGGCGUGCCUAAUACAUGCAAGUCGAGCGAACAGACGAGGAGCUUGCUCCUCUGACGUUAGCGGCGGACGGGUGAGUAACACGUAGAUAACCUACCUAUAAGACUGGGAUAACUUCGGGAAACCGGAGCUAAUACCGGAUAAUAUUUUGAACCGCAUGGUUCGAUAGUGAAAGAUGGUUUUGCUAUCACUUAUAGAUGGAUCUGCGCCGGAUUAGCUAGUUGGUAAGGUAACGGCUUACCAAGGCAACGAUGCGUAGCCGACCUGAGAGGGUGAUCGGCCACACUGGAACUGAGACACGGUCCAGACUCCUACGGGAGGCAGCAGUAGGGAAUCUUCCGCAAUGGGCGAAAGCCUGACGGAGCAACGCCGCGUGAGUGAUGAAGGUCUUCGGAUCGUAAAACUCUGUUAUUAGGGAAGAACAAACGUGUAAGUAACUAUGCACGUCUUGACGGUACCUAAUCAGAAAGCCACGGCUAACUACGUG